GAGACGGUAAGUCUUUAUACUGAGGAGGUGGCAGAGCUGAGACGGUAAGUCUUUAUACUGAGGAGGUGGCAGAGCUGAGACGGUAAGUCUUUAUACUGAGGAGGUGGCAGAGCUGAGACGGUAAGUCUUUAUACUGAGGAGGUGGCAGAGCUGAGACGGUAAGUCUUUAUACUGAGGAGGUGGCAGAGCUGAGACUAAGUCUAUACUCAACUGCUCAACUUUAUGCUCUCUAAUGCAUAUAGCAAAAAUGGGAUUUGAUGGAUCAAUAUAGAAUAACUUCACCGUUCACACAUUACAGAUACAAUACACAAGUCCCAAGAAUGUUCAUUAAAAAGCCUUACUGAUGCUGGCACAAAACUGGUGUCUUGGUCCUGAGAGGUAGAGACCUGAGUCUACGGCCUGAUGGCAACUGC
Molecule: long non-coding RNA, 413 nt
Organism: Oncorhynchus keta (chum salmon)
Lineage: Eukaryota; Metazoa; Chordata; Actinopteri; Salmoniformes; Salmonidae
Exons: 3
Source: RefSeq, a predicted model, not a curated record